This 259-nucleotide ribosomal RNA is filed under the name uncultured bacterium. RNAcentral describes it as "partial 16S ribosomal RNA". It matches the Rfam family "Bacterial small subunit ribosomal RNA", at positions 95 to 354 of the family's 1533-position model. The record is from RNAcentral.
UUGGCGGACGGGUGAGUAACGCGUGGAUAACCUGCCGUAUACCGGGGGAUAACACUUAGAAAUAGGUGCUAAUACCGCAUAAGCGCACGGCUCCGCAUGAAGCAGUGUGAAAAACUCCGGUGGUAUACGAUGGAUCCGCGUCUGAUUAGCUGGUUGGCGGGGUAACAGCCCACCAAGGCGACGAUCAGUAGCCGGCCUGAGAGGGUGAACGGCCACAUUGGGACUGAGACACGGCCCAAACUCCUACGGAAGGCAGCAG